CUCUUUACUUGCUUCACUUUUCAUUUCUGCUCGGUGCUCACCCCACCACUCUCUCUCCCCUCUCUAGCAUAACUUCUCUUCUGUCGAAUGAUCAAGCAACUCCAACUUAAAUAGUUUUCUUACUUCUUUAAUUUUAUGCCUAAUUCCUCUUAUUUUUAAUUGUUCUUCCAACAGAAAUGUAUCCAAAUCUCUUAAUCUCAAUUUUGAUGGCAUGGCAUGGCAUGAGUUAUGAUGCUAAAGUGCUAAACAAAGACUAAACGGGUUAUUUUUCUUGAAGGCUUGUUUAAUCUCUCUUAUUUUCAUGUUAUCUCAAGCAGACAGAGGAAAAAGAGAACAAAGAAAUGCUAAUCUUGAUAAACUGCUACAAAAGUGGGGUUGAGAACUUAGCUGGGUUCACAGAUCUGGAAAAUACCUGGAUCCGAUUGGUUGUCUUCUGCACCCGUGUUUAAAGUUCAAACAAAAUUCUCCAUUCGAUCAGUUUCACAAGAUUUGCGAGAAAAAAAAUCUUUUGUAUUUUGAAUGAAUAUGAUGAUAAAAUUCAUUGAUUCCGAUCGAUUUAAUGAAGUUUUUAAUUUAUCUGAUGUGAUUUGAUAUGCUUAUGUAUAUUAAUUUGAUCCCGUAGAGGAAAUUUUGAUUCUGCUACUA
Long non-coding RNA from Papaver somniferum (opium poppy), 645 nucleotides. RefSeq lists it as uncharacterized. NCBI's taxonomy places the organism in Eukaryota, Viridiplantae, Streptophyta, Magnoliopsida, Ranunculales, Papaveraceae. The transcript has 2 exons. The record is from RefSeq and is a predicted model, not a curated record.